RNAcentral lists this long non-coding RNA (492 nucleotides) under Marmota monax (woodchuck). The record is from RNAcentral. Lineage: Eukaryota; Metazoa; Chordata; Mammalia; Rodentia; Sciuridae.
AAGAAAUCUAUUUCAUCUUCAUCUGGAAAUCUGACAGAGGGUUUUGAAUGUUCAUUCUCUUCUGAAAACAUAAAUCAGAUCAUGUGUCCACCCUUCUUAAAAACCUUCUUGUCUAGCACCCCACUGUGCAAAGGAUAAAAUUCUAACCUCUUAAUGUGGACAAUUAGGAUCCUUCACUCUCUCUCCACAAAUAAUAGCCAUAUUUUUCAGUAGCUCUCCACUGUGUACAUGUACUUAACCAGCCAUACAGAAUUUCCCAUGCACCAUUUCUUCAAUACCAUGCUUUUCCAUGGUUGUUUUGUACACACUGAUGUAUGUGCACUGUUGGUCCCACCUUUCUCCUCUUCUUCAUUUGGCAGGCACCUAACUAUUCUCAAACCUAGUUCUUAUAUAAUAGGGAAGCUGACUGAGACUCUCCCAGAGCUAUUUGAUCCUUUCUCAAUGCUACCAUAGCAGUAUGAACAUACCUCCAUAACUUACUUCUUGUUUGUG